AGGAUCUACUUCCAAAAGCGUAACAACACCAGUGUACGUGUGUAACGACUUUUGACCAAUCAUCAUGUUUGUGUAUGUUUACAUUAAGUAUAUUAGUAAGUUGAACAGAGUAUAGAGACGUCUUUUUUUCUCGGUAACUUGUGUUACAGUGCCUGAAAGUGCAAUACCGAUGUAGAAAAAUUCUACCGAAUUUCGUACUUUGUGCCUAUAGUAUUCUGAUUCUAUAUUACACUACAAAUUUUCUUUCAGUGUAUCUUUAUCGACUGUUUGUGUUAGCGGCCUAUUUUCAGAAGAACUGGCUUCGACCUUGAAGUUGCAAUCGUCGUAAUCCACGACGGUUAAUACAAUUUUUUUUUGGCCAAAAGUUGUGUAGUAACAGUAGUCCUACUGCUCAAAUUGCUUUCAGCAAACAUGUUCAUGCAUCCAAAACUUUUGCAUGUUCUGACUUAUAAGAAUGACCGUAGUUGGAAUUUUUUUUUACUGUCAGUUUUACAGGUAGUUAUGAUUUAAAGUGACAGAAUGCAGGCUUGUGAACAGUACAAUCUGUUUUUGCAUUGGAUGUUUCUGACUUUGUGAAAUGGAAAGCCAAGGAAGAGAAGACAGUAGCAUUGUAACUUAUGGGUGUGCCUAGCCUGCGAUAGGUGGGACUAAAACCACAUAUAUGUGUCAUAGAUCUGCGAUAGUCAAGUCUCAAUCAAAAGGCGAGAGGCUGCUGAAGUCGCAAGGCAAUAACAAGAUGGGAAGCCAUGGCACUGCUGCCAUGAACAUCAGCCAAAAUAAAAAGAGGAAUUUUACUAUUGUUUAUUUCAAGACACAUUUUAGCCACAAACGGAAUGAAUAUUGUUUCUGUGCACCUAACCAGAUAUUAAAAGGAGUUCAUUGCUGAAGAGUGGUGGAUGAUAAGCAGUUGUUGAAAUGGCUGGAUGAAGAGUUUGCUAACGAAGAUUGUAGUGAUGCAGAGUCAAUCUUCAAAACUGAUCACAAUUCUGAAAGUGAGCAGUUUCUGGUCAUAAAUGACAAUAUCGAUAAAUUUGACUCACAUGUUGGGAAAGGUGGUAUGCAGUGCAGUCAUCGACCUCUGAUUCAAAACAGGUAUAUAUGCCAGCUUUGUUGUACUUUCAGAAGCUAGAAUUUCUAAGCAAGCAUUAUACAGGGUGUUACAAAAAGGUACGGCCAAACGUUCAGGAAAUAUUCCUCACACACAAAUAAAGAAAAAAUGUUAUGUGGACAUGUAUCCGGAAACACUUAAUUUCCAUGUUAGAGCUCAUUUUAGUUUCGUCAGUAUGUACUGUACUUCCUCGAUUCACCGCCAGUUGGCCCAAUUGAAGGAAGGUAAUGUUGACUUCAGUGCUUGUAUUGACAUGCGACUCAUUGCUCUACAGUACUAGCAUCAAGCACAUCAGUACGUAGCACCAAUAGGUUAGUGUUCAUCAUGAACGUGGUUUUGCAGUCAGUGCAAUGUUUACAAAUGCGGAGUUGGCAGAUACCCAUUUGAUGUAUGGAUUAGCACGGGGCAAUAGCCGUGGCGUGGUACAUUUGUAUCGAGACAGAUUUCCAGAAUGAAGGUGUCGCUACAGGAAGACAUUCGAAGCAAUUGAUCGGCGUCUUAGGGAGCACGGAUAUUCCACCCUAUGACUCGCGACUGGGGAAGACCUAGAACAAUGAGGACACCUGCAAUGGACGAGGCAAUUCUUCAUGCAGUUGACGAUAACCCUAAUGUCAGCGUCAUAGAAUUUGCUGCUGUACAAGGUAACGUUGACCACGUCACUGUAUGGAGAGUGCUACGGGAGAACCAGUUGUUUCCGUACCAUGUACAGCGUGUGCAGGCACUAUCAGCAGCUGAUUGGCCUCCACGGGUACACUUCUGCGAAUGGUUCAUCCAACAAUGUGUCAAUCCUCAUUUCAGUGCAAAUGUUCUCUUUACGGAUGAGGCUUCAUUCCAAUGUGAUCAAAUUGUAGAUUUUCACAAUAAACAUGUGUGGGCUAACGAGAAUCCGCAUGCAGUUGUGCAGUCACGUCAUCAACACAGAUUUUCUGUGAACGUUUGGGCAGGCAUUGUUGGUGAUGUCUUGAUUGGGCCCCAUGUUCUUCCACCUACACUCAAUGGAUCACGUUAUCAUGAUUUCAUACGGGAUACUCUACCUGUGCUGCUAGAACAUGUGCCUUUACAAGUACGACACAACAUGUGGUUCAUGCACGAUGGAGCUCCUGCACAUUUCAGUCGAAGUGUUUGUACGCUUCCCAACAACAGAUUUGGUGACUGAUGGAUUGGUAGAGGCGGACCAAUUCUAUGGCCUCCACGCUCUCCUGACCUCAACCCUCUUGACUUUCAUUUAUGGGGGCAUUUGAAAGCUCUUGUCUACACAACCCCGGUACCAAAUGUAGAGACUCUUCGUGCUCGUAUUGUGGACGGCUGUGGUACAAUACGCCAUUCUCCAGGGAUGCAUCAACACAUCACGGAUUCCAUGCAACGGAGGGUGGAUGCAUGUAUCCUCGCUAACGGAGGACAUUUUGAUCAUUUCCUGUAACAAAGUGUUUGAAAUCAUGCUGGUACGUUCUGUUGCUGUGUGUUUCCAUUCCAUGAUUAAUGUGAUUUGAAGAGAAGUUAUAAAAUGAGCUCUAACAUGGAAAGUAAGCAUUUACGGACACAUGUCCACAUAACAUAUUUUCUUUCGUUGUGUGUGAGGAAUGUUUAAUGAAAGUUUGGCCAUACCUUUUUGUAACACCCUGUAUACCAUGUAAUGGUGUGACAAUACCAUUAUCGUCAUCCUGACCAUCAAUGGAUCACAGGUACGGUUUUCAGAUGAAAGCUCAAAUGAGAAUGAUGCUGUGGGACCUUCCACAGGUAGUGGAAUACUUAUCACAGGGCAGAGUGAUAUAGACUGUGCAGAAGAAACAGACUUGGUAGUUGAAGAACCGCCGCAAGCAACAACAUUAAGUGCAAACAGAGAGAACAACAUAAAGAUAUGCUACACCAAGGAAAAGAAAGUGAAGUGAUAAAGGGAGCUAUUCAAGUGCACUUCAGUUGAUUGCUGAAAGACUGCAGAUACAUUUGUUAAAGAUUUGGGUGUAGAAAUGAAAGCCAUUAAAAGCCAUGAAAUGAGGAUGGAUUAACUGCAAAUACUAAAACUUAUGUAUGAUGCUGUAGUCAGUCAAUAACAUGCAAAUUUCAUAUGCU
Molecule: long non-coding RNA, 3178 nt
Organism: Schistocerca nitens (vagrant locust)
Lineage: Eukaryota; Metazoa; Arthropoda; Insecta; Orthoptera; Acrididae
Exons: 4
Source: RefSeq, a predicted model, not a curated record